UACGGAGGAUCAGAGCGUUAUCCGGAUUUAUUGGGUUUAAAGGGUGCGCAGGCGGGAUGUUAAGUCGGCGGUGAAAUUUUGCAGCUCAACUGUAAAAGUGCCUUCGAUACUGGCUUUCUUGAGUGUGGAUGAAGUAGGCGGAAUUUAUGGUGUAGCGGUGAAAUGCUUAGAUAUCACGAGGAACUCCGAUUGCGCAGGCAGCUUACUAAACCACUACUGACGCUCAUGCACGAAGGCGUGGGGAUCAAACAGGAUUAGAUA
This 261-nucleotide ribosomal RNA is filed under the name uncultured prokaryote. Its description in RNAcentral is "partial 16S ribosomal RNA". It matches the Rfam family "Bacterial small subunit ribosomal RNA", at positions 524 to 784 of the family's 1533-position model. The record is from RNAcentral.